GGAAAAGGAACGAGGACGAGCAGAAAAACGCACGGGAGGGGCUCUCCUCGAUGCCAUGGAUACGGCACCGUCGCCGCCGCCGCCACGCGCGGCCGGUCUCCUUCUCCGGCCAUCCGCCGCCCACUUCUCCUUCCUCUUGCUGCGGCCAUCUUAUGUCGCCGCCGCCGGCUUAAAACGGUGUUCCGACCGCCGGCUCCUCGGUACCCUACACCUCCAUGGAAGUCCGGAUCUCGCCGCCAUACUGAACUCUCCGGCUCUCUCCCCACCCUGAAUUCUCAUCUGUCCCAGAGAUCCUCUCCAACCUAGAGUUUCUCAUGGAGAUCACCUCCUGACACCGGCGUGCGGAGACAGGCAGGCCGCCCCUCUCGCGGACAGACUGGAGCAACGUUGGUUGAGGAGACGGCCACCGUCAUGGAUGCGGAACAGCUGCUGCUGCGGUGGUCCUCAUCUAGCCUUUAUUCCAAGGUACGACAGUAACAAGCUUGCUGCUUAAUUACCUUUGCUCCUAGCUAGCCAAAAUUACAAUUGAUACAUGUAUAUAUAUAGGUGUAUUAGCAUCUGCUAUGUCGGCUUAAAAUUCUGGAGAGAUUUUGAACUUUUUUCUUGCACAUUAUUAGGUGGUAUUUUGUUAUAUUUGAGAAAGGCAUAUGUCAGUUAUUUUUUAGGAGUUGAGAAACUACUUUUCUUGCCAUCAAGGUUGAUAUAUGAACUUACAAGUUACAACCGUGAAGGUUGAACAACGUCAGUUAUUUUUUUAGGGAUUUAACAACAUCAGUUUGUUGUACUUGCUUGAAGUUUUUGCCCUGAGCAUAACCUAAUAGCAACGAACAAAAACUUAUGUUUUAAUGUAUGCCAAUAGUCAUGUUGUCUGUUUAGUUGAGGUUCGUUUUUCAGUACAUGAAUUUGCUGCACUAUCAUGUAAGAGGAUUUGCACUGAUGCUAAUCAUGGUUCAUUGGAACUCCAGACAACAAGGUAUGUAAUCCUUGUUGACAUGAGUUACAAGUUCUUGAUUUAAUAUCCUGAUAAUUUAAGUACUUUGUAAUUUUGACGUGAAGCUCUGCCUUUGUAAGCGGCCAGGAAGGAUCGAUCAGAAUCAAGGUGGAACUUUUCUGCUCGUGGCGAGGACACCCCUGAUGGCGCAAACAUACCAACCUCUGUAUUGACUUUGUCGGCGUGAUUCAUUCGCCUGGCAGUGACGGUGGAGAGUCCUUGGCUGCACGACAGCAGCACUUUGUGGAGUCAAUGCAGCGGUUGUCGCCUCCAUGCUCGACCUCAUGCUUACCCGCGCAACAGGAGAUGAGCACUAGCAGCGGUACAGGAAGAGGGAGUUGGGCUGCAGUUGAUUUGGGAGGCCCAGCCGAGGCGAGAUGGGAGGAGAAGCAUCGAUGAUACUCCACCUGUCCGUAGCCAACAGAUGCAUCGGUGCAUCUAGCAGGAGGCACAUCUUGCGGCGGUAGCAAGCUCAUCUGCCAGGCAUCAUCAGGCGAUACCAGUCGUUGAUUGUUGCGUGGUGCUGGGAUAGAUGCCUCACCGGUGGACCAGGCGACUGUGUUGCUGGUGAGCCGCAAGGUGUUUGUGCUGAUGAUUGCGCGGGUUGUCUUAUCAUUGCGGCGUAUCCACUCUGCUACUGAUGCUUAGCUCUAUUGCCUUGCCGUGUGAUUGUGUCAUAUCGACACUAAUACUAAUGCUCAAUGUUGUUGCCUGAAAGCACACCCUGUUGUGUUUAUCAUAAAGGAAUAAACAACAUCUAAAGAGGCCCAUUGCCUUUAAGCAGUGUAUACUUCUCAACUGACAAACUUGUAGCAUUUGUAUUUUAUAGGUAUAUCCGAAGGUUGUUUGAACUACUCUGAUGCCACUCAGUUUUGCUUCAUGCACAGUUUGGUUCAAAAAAUGAUUCACACAUUACAUCCAAAAGGUAUAUAUUCUUUUCAGGUUGUAAAUGUCAUCCCCAUAGUAAUUCAUACAUUUUCUUUUAUACAGUUUGGGAAGGGGAGCCUUGGCGCAGUGGUAAAGCUGCUGCCUUGUGACCAUGAGGUCAUGGGUUCAAGUCCUGGAAACAGCCUCUUACAGAAAUGUAGGGAAAGGCUGCGUACUAUAGACCCAAAGUGGUCGGACCCUUCCCUGGACCCUGCGCAAGCGGGAGCUACAUGCACCAGGAUCUCUAUUGAGCCCAUCUUGGAUGAGUAGCUAGAUACCAGGAUGUAGCACCAUCAUGUAUCCCUACCAAAAUUGAAGUUUGUUUCUUUGGUAGGACUAGGUAGUUCUCUAGAUUAUAAUCAUAAUUAGUUGUGAGUUCUCCAGAAAUAUUUGUUGUACAACCAUAAGAAUGACGAUCCGGACCGACUGAAGGGUAUAGAUGAUAAUAUGACAUCAAUUCCUGAAUUAGUUGUUUCUCGCAAUUUGAAAUGUUUACAGAACACAUUGUGAUUGUAUACUUAAAUGGGUGCUGUCAUUCAUGACCA
This is a long non-coding RNA of Triticum aestivum (bread wheat), 2463 nucleotides long. RefSeq lists it as uncharacterized. Lineage: Eukaryota; Viridiplantae; Streptophyta; Magnoliopsida; Poales; Poaceae. The record is from RefSeq and is a predicted model, not a curated record. The transcript is spliced from 2 exons.